UACAGAGGGUGCGAGCGUUGUUCGGAAUUAUUGGGCGUAAAGGGCGCGUAGGCGGUGCGGCAAGUCACCUGUGAAACCUCUGGGCUUAACCCAGAGCCUGCAGGCGAAACUGCCGUGCUGGAGUGUGGGAGAGGUGCGUGGAAUUCCCGGUGUAGCGGUGAAAUACGUAGAGAUUGGGAAGAACACCAGUGGCGAAGGCGGCUAUCUGGACGGUUUCUGACGCUAAGACGCGAAAGCGUGGGGAGCAAACAGG
This 253-nucleotide ribosomal RNA is filed under the name uncultured bacterium. RNAcentral describes it as "partial 16S ribosomal RNA". It matches the Rfam family "Bacterial small subunit ribosomal RNA", at positions 524 to 776 of the family's 1533-position model. The record is from RNAcentral.